AGUGAACGCUGGCGGUAGGCCUAACACAUGCAAGUCGAACGGCAGCACAGAGGAGCUUGCUCCUUGGGUGGCGAGUGGCGGACGGGUGAGGAAUACAUCGGAAUCUACUCUGUCGUGGGGGAUAACGUAGGGAAACUUACGCUAAUACCGCAUACGACCUACGGGUGAAAGCAGGGGAUCUUCGGACCUUGCGCGAUUGAAUGAGCCGAUGUCGGAUUAGCUAGUUGGCGGGGUAAAGGCCCACCAAGGCGACGAUCCGUAGCUGGUCUGAGAGGAUGAGCAGCCCCACUGGAGCGGAGACACGGUCCAGACUCCUACGGGAGGCAGCAGUGGGGAAUAUUGGACAAUGGGCGCAAGCCUGAUCCAGCCAUACCGCGUGGGUGAAGAAGGCCUUCGGGUUGUAAAGCCCUUUUGUUGGGAAAGAAAUCCAUCUGGUUAAUACCCGGGUGGGAUGACGGUACCCAAAGAAUAAGCACCGGCUAACUUCGUGCCAGCCGCCGCAGUAA
Molecule: ribosomal RNA, 506 nt
Filed under: uncultured bacterium
Lineage: Bacteria
Description: partial 16S ribosomal RNA
Rfam family: Bacterial small subunit ribosomal RNA
Source: RNAcentral